UACAGAGGUCCCAAGCGUUGUUCGGAUUCACUGGGCGUAAAGGGUGCGUAGGUGGUGAGGUAAGUCGGAUGUGAAAUCUCCGAGCUCAACUCGGAAAUGGCAUUGGAAACUACCUUGCUAGAGGAUUGGAGGGGAGACUGGAAUGCUUGGUGUAGCAGUGAAAUGCGUAGAUAUAUGGAGGAACACCAAUGGCGAAGGCAGCUUACUGGACAGUUAUUGACGCUGAGAUGCGAAAGCGUGGGGAGCAAACAGG
This 253-nucleotide ribosomal RNA is filed under the name uncultured bacterium. RNAcentral describes it as "partial 16S ribosomal RNA". It matches the Rfam family "Bacterial small subunit ribosomal RNA", at positions 524 to 776 of the family's 1533-position model. The record is from RNAcentral.